This 548-nucleotide ribosomal RNA is filed under the name Sordariomycetes sp. S-2. RNAcentral's name for it is "eukaryotic LSU rRNA". The stretch from base 198 to 351 matches the Rfam family "5.8S ribosomal RNA". Lineage: Eukaryota; Fungi; Ascomycota; Sordariomycetes. The record is from RNAcentral. RNAcentral also lists the same sequence under 3 other names.
AAGUCGUAACAAGGUUUCCGUAGGUGAACCAGCGGAGGGAUCAUUACCGAGUUUACAACUCCCAAACCCCUGUGAACAUACCUUAAUGUUGCCUCGGCGGAUCAGCCCGCGCCCCGUAAAACGGGACGGCCCGCCAGAGGACCCAAACUCUAAUGUUUCUUAUUGUAACUUCUGAGUAAAACAAACAAAUAAAUCAAAACUUUCAACAACGGAUCUCUUGGUUCUGGCAUCGAUGAAGAACGCAGCGAAAUGCGAUAAGUAAUGUGAAUUGCAGAAUUCAGUGAAUCAUCGAAUCUUUGAACGCACAUUGCGCCCGCUAGUAUUCUAGCGGGCAUGCCUGUUCGAGCGUCAUUUCAACCCUCAAGCACUGCUUGGUGUUGGGGUCCUACGGCUGCCGUAGGCCCUGAAAGAAAGUGGCGGGCUCGCUACAACUCCGAGCGUAGUAGAAUCCUAUCUCGCUAGGGAGGUACGGCGUGCUCCGGCCGUUAAAGUCCCAUCUUUAACCCAAGGUUGACCUCGGAUCAGGUAGGAAUACCCGCUGAACUUAA